AGCUACUAAGAGCGAAUGGUGGAUGCCUUGACUGGUAAAGGCGAUGAAGGACGUACUAGACUGCGAUAAGCUACGGGGAGCUGUCAAGAAGCUUUGAUCCGUAGAUUUCCGAAUGGGGCAACCCAAUGUAUAGAGAUAUACAUUACCUAUAUAGGAGCGAACGAGGGGAAUUGAAACAUCUUAGUACCCUCAGGAAAAGAAAUCAAUAGAGAUUGCGUCAGUAGCGGCGAGCGAAAGCGCAAGAGGGCAAACCCAGUGCUUGCACUGGGGGUUGUAGGACUGCAAUGUGCAAGAGGUAAGUUUAGCAGAACAUUCUGGAAAGUAUAACCAUAGAGGGUGAUAGUCCCGUAUGCGAAAAACAAACCUUAGCUAGCAGUAUCCUGAGUAGGGCGGGACACGAGGAAUCCUGUCUGAAUCCGGGUCGACCACGAUCCAACCCUAAAUACUAAUACCAGAUCGAUAGUGCACAAGUACCGUGAGGGAAAGGUGAAAAGAACUGAGGUGAUCAGAGUGAAAUAGAACCUGAAACCAUUUGCUUACAAUCAUUCAGAGCCCUAUGUAGCAAUACAGGGUGAUGGACUGCCUUUUGCAUAAUGAGCCUGCGAGUUGUGGUGUCUGGCAAGGUUAAGCAAACGCGAAGCCGUAGCGAAAGCGAGUCUGAAUAGGGCGCUUAGUCAGAUGCUGCAGACCCGAAACGAAGUGAUCUAUCCAUGAGCAAGUUGAAGCUAGUGUAAGAACUAGUGGAGGACUGAACCCAUAGGCGUUGAAAAGCCCCGGGAUGACUUGUGGAUAGGGGUGAAAGGCCAAUCAAACUUCGUGAUAGCUGGUUCUCUCCGAAAUAUAUUUAGGUAUAGCGUUGUGUCGUAAUAUAAGGGGGUAGAGCACUGAAUGGGCUAGGGCAUACACCAAUGUACCAAACCCUAUCAAACUCCGAAUACCUUAUAUGUAAUCACAGCAGUCAGGCGGCGAGUGAUAAAAUCCGUCGUCAAGAGGGAAACAACCCAGACUACCAGCUAAGGUCCCUAAAUCUUACUUAAGUGGAAAACGAUGUGAAGUUACUUAAACAACCAGGAGGUUGGCUUAGAAGCAGCCAUCCUUUAAAGAAAGCGUAAUAGCUCACUGGUCUAGUGAUUUUGCGCGGAAAAUAUAACGGGGCUAAAGUAAGUACUGAAGCUGUAGACUUAGUUUACUAAGUGGUAGGAGAGCGUUCUAUUUGCGUCGAAGGUAUACCGGUAAGGAGUGCUGGAGCGAAUAGAAGUGAGCAUGCAGGCAUGAGUAGCGAUAAUUAAUGUGAGAAUCAUUAACGCCGUAAACCCAAGGUUUCCUACGCGAUGCUCGUCAUCGUAGGGUUAGUCGGGUCCUAAGUCGAGUCCGAAAGGGGUAGACGAUGGCAAAUUGGUUAAUAUUCCAAUACCAACAUUAGUGUGCGAUGGAAGGACGCUUAGGGCUAAGGGGGCUAGCGGAUGGAAGUGCUAGUCUAAGGUCGUAGGAGGUUAUACAGGCAAAUCCGUAUAACAAUACUCCGAGAACUGAAAGGCUUUUUGAAGUCUUCGGAUGGAUAGAAGAACCCCUGAUGCCGUCGAGCCAAGAAAAGUUUCUAAGUUUAGCUAAUGUUGCCCGUACCGUAAACCGACACAGGUGGGUGGGAUGAGUAUUCUAAGGCGCGUGGAAGAACUCUCUUUAAGGAACUCUGCAAAAUAGCACCGUAUCUUCGGUAUAAGGUGUGGUUAGCUUUGUAUUAGGAUUUACUCCGAAAGCAAGGAAACUUACAACAAAGAGUCCCUCCCGACUGUUUACCAAAAACACAGCACUCUGCUAACUCGUAAGAGGAUGUAUAGGGUGUGACGCCUGCCCGGUGCUCGAAGGUUAAUUGAUGGGGUUAGCAUUAGCGAAGCUCUUGAUCGAAGCCCGAGUAAACGGCGGCCGUAACUAUAACGGUCCUAAGGUAGCGAAAUUCCUUGUCGGUUAAAUACCGACCUGCAUGAAUGGCGUAACGAGAUGGGAGCUGUCUCAAAGAGGGAUCCAGUGAAAUUGUAGUGGAGGUGAAAAUUCCUCCUACCCGCGGCAAGACGGAAAGACCCCGUGGACCUUUACUACAGCUUGACACUGCUACUUGGAUAAGAAUGUGCAGGAUAGGUGGGAGGCUUUGAGUAUAUGACGCCAGUUGUAUAUGAGCCAUUGUUGAGAUACCACUCUUUCUUAUUUGGGUAGCUAACCAGCUUGAGUUAUCCUC
This 2233-nucleotide ribosomal RNA is filed under the name Campylobacter jejuni. RNAcentral describes it as "bacterial LSU rRNA". It matches the Rfam family "Bacterial large subunit ribosomal RNA", at positions 1 to 2243 of the family's 2925-position model. Lineage: Bacteria; Pseudomonadati; Campylobacterota; Epsilonproteobacteria; Campylobacterales; Campylobacteraceae. The record is from RNAcentral.